AAUGUAGUGAAGCAGUGCAGGAUGAGAACCACAAGUUCGAGCCGAGCGAAGCGAGACGACAACGCGCAAGCGUUGCCCGCAGGGCGAGGUGAAAUCGAGUCAAUCUAGCACGGCCCACCA
RNAcentral lists this small RNA (120 nucleotides) under Rahnella aquatilis. Its description in RNAcentral is "RtT sRNA". It matches the Rfam family "RtT RNA". Rfam says of the family: This family represents a bacterial cis-regulatory element known as RtT RNA. The exact function of RtT is unknown although it is thought that it may be involved in changing the cellular response in relation to amino acid starvation. RNAcentral also lists the same sequence under 1 other name. The record is from RNAcentral. Lineage: Bacteria; Pseudomonadati; Pseudomonadota; Gammaproteobacteria; Enterobacterales; Yersiniaceae.